GUGUGUGUAUAUAAUGCAGUGUGUUUGUGUAGUGUGCAUUAUAUAAACACACUAAACAAACACACUGCAUUAUAUACACACACAC
Molecule: non-coding RNA, 85 nt
Organism: Pelobates cultripes (western spadefoot toad)
Lineage: Eukaryota; Metazoa; Chordata; Amphibia; Anura; Pelobatidae
Source: the annotation of a GenBank genome assembly